This 245-nucleotide ribosomal RNA is filed under the name uncultured bacterium. RNAcentral's name for it is "partial 16S ribosomal RNA". It matches the Rfam family "Bacterial small subunit ribosomal RNA", at positions 524 to 768 of the family's 1533-position model. The record is from RNAcentral.
UACGUAGGGGGCAAGCGUUGUUCGGAAUUACUGGGCGUAAAGGGAGUGUAGGCGGGGAGAUAAGUUAGGAGUUAAAUACUCAGGCUUAACUUGAGGGCUGCUCUUAAUACUGUUUCUCUUGAGUAUGGGAGAGGGUGAUGGAAUUCCAGGUGUAGCGGUGGAAUGCGUAGAUAUCUGGAAGAACACCAGUUGCGAAGGCGGUCACCUGGCCCAAUACUGACGCUGAGGCUCGAAAGCUAGGGGAG